GGGCGGUAGCUCAGCCGGUCAGAGCAGAGGACUCAUAAUCCUUGGGUCGUGGGUUCGAGCCCCACCCGCC
This 70-nucleotide transfer RNA is filed under the name Aeromicrobium massiliense. It matches the Rfam family "tRNA". From Rfam's summary of the family: Transfer RNA (tRNA) molecules are approximately 80 nucleotides in length. Their secondary structure includes four short double-helical elements and three loops (D, anti-codon, and T loops). The record is from RNAcentral. Lineage: Bacteria; Bacillati; Actinomycetota; Actinomycetes; Propionibacteriales; Nocardioidaceae.